CUGAAUAAUUCUCCCCUCUGGCGUGAACUUGUGUGAAUCUCACACAAAUAAAUUAAAUUUUAAAAGGUUUACAAAGAGACUUUGUGUUAUCAAAUUUAUGCACAUAUUCUUUGAACCUUUAGCGAGCCACUCAGAAACUAGCUACCGUGUUUAUUCAUAAAAUAAAAAUGGUUUUAUGUGUAAUCUGAAUCAGAAAAUUCUGAAACUCAACCAAAAAGCUUCUUUACUUUUCUGUUCAUUUCAGACUACUGUACCUUUGGCCUUCUCCCACAAUGAUGCCGCAAUACAUCUAUAAUCAGCAUAAUCGGAGCAGCAUGUUU
Sebastes umbrosus (honeycomb rockfish) is the source of this 320-nucleotide long non-coding RNA. RefSeq lists it as uncharacterized. The transcript has 3 exons. The record is from RefSeq and is a predicted model, not a curated record. Lineage: Eukaryota; Metazoa; Chordata; Actinopteri; Perciformes; Sebastidae.